Molecule: ribosomal RNA, 355 nt
Filed under: uncultured bacterium
Lineage: Bacteria
Description: bacterial SSU rRNA
Rfam family: Bacterial small subunit ribosomal RNA
Source: RNAcentral
CGAGGAAUCUUCCGCAAUGGGCGCAAGCCUGACGGAGCAACGCCGCGUGAGUGAAGAAGGCCUUCGGGUCGUAAAGCUCUGUCUUUAGGGAAGAAAGGGUCAUAUGUAAAAAAUGUAUGACAGAUGACGGUACCUGAGGAGGAAGCUCCGACUAACUACGUGCCAGCAGCCGCGGUAAUACGUAGGGAGCGAGCGUUGUCCGGAAUUACUGGGCGUAAAGGGCGCGUAGGCGGGUGAUUAAGUCAGAUGUGAAAACUGAGGGCUCAACCCUGAGACUGCAUUUGAAACUGGUCAUCUUGAGGCAGGAGAGGAAAGUGGAAUUCCUAGUGUAGCGGUGAAAUGCGUAGAUAUUAGG